This 1575-nucleotide long non-coding RNA is filed under the name Triticum aestivum (bread wheat). RNAcentral's name for it is "long non-coding RNA (TAES_LNC018073)". The record is from RNAcentral. Lineage: Eukaryota; Viridiplantae; Streptophyta; Magnoliopsida; Poales; Poaceae.
CAUAUACACUGAUUUUGAAUGGAUAUAACUCUUCAAAAGUAAGUAAUUGCUUAAAUACUGAAGAAAAAAAUUAUUCUUUCAAAGCUGGUGACUUGCUAACUUCCCUCUCAUCCUGCUACCAGUCAAUAGACUACGUAAAAGAAAAUAAAAGAAACAACAGGACCGCACUUACUACAUAUACAUUAUACCUCUAGACAUGUACUAAAGAUGCAACCAAAUUGCAGCACAUUUUUCUGCUCUGGUUCAAGCUGCAUGUUUCCUACGUCCUACCUCAGCCAAAGAAACAACUUCAACUCAAUUCUAGGUAGCUGCAUUGCCUAUGUCUGAAACCCAACAUACGAUUGAUAUUCCCAGCUGCAUUGUCUAUGUCUAAAACCCAGCAUACAAUUGCCUUAUGUGCUAGAUUCUCAAGAGAAGUUUUAUUGUCGCUUCUGCAGAAAGUAGAAGCAUUAUUACAUAAAUAAUAAUGCUCUAGUAGUGCAGAACUGGAUUGCAUAAUAAGUUGUGGUACAUUGGGCAACAGAGAAGCUAUGCAUUGGGUAUUAAUUAUCUUCUGAAACUGUAGUACAUACCUCAGGUGAAGCAUGGUCAGACGGAGUUCCGGUGAAGGGUGGAGCACGAGCGGAUAGUGUUCCUGCUAAGUCGGCGGAACGACGAGAUUGGAUGGAUACCGCCUGUGACCCGGUCAUUCAGCAGUAUCUAGGGGCCACUUUAGGGACUUCGUCAUGCACAACUGCGUCUCCAUCGAUCCCUGCCCCAAUGAACACCUUGCCGGAUGCCAGAGUUCCACACCAAUGAACACCUUGCCAGAUGCAUGCCUAUACAGAGGGAGUACACGUGAAAGAACAUUAAUUCCAUGUAGUAAUACUGCUUAUGUGAACUAAUUAUGGUAAACAAAAUUUCAGCUAAAAUAAAGAAAGAUUGAAAACAGUUUAAAUAAGUUUUCGAAUAUUUUAGUUAUUCAUACAAACAUCUUCAUGAAAUAUGGCUGACAACCUCCAUAUCAACAAACAUGCAAUUACAGAUAGUUACAACUAAACUUGUCUGUCGUUGUCUUACUUCAAAGUAGGUGAGUACCUUGUCCAGCAGUGGCCUGAGCUUGGACAAUUCAUAUCAUUGCACAUAUAUUUUUCCUACAUGUAUUAUGACAAUUUGUUCAGAAAAGCAGGUUAACUAAGAAAAGAUGAAUAUAUAAAGAUUUAUAUAUUAGAUCUGACAUCAUAAAUCUCCAAACAAUUUUGUGCUCCCACUCUCUGCCAGCAUUACAGAAGAUGAGAAACUCUAGGCAAUUUCCAUGGAAAUUUACCACAUAUCAUGGAACUGGUAUAUUAUAUCAUACCAUGGUACACAAUAUUUCUUCUUUAUCCUUUUUGUAAUUCAAGCUUCAAAGAAAUAGCCAAUGAAAAGGUACUGAAAAUGUCAAAACAUUGGGCAAGAUUCGUGAGAAUGUCUGCUAGUAUAACAAUAAAAUAGACAGAUAAAUAACCAAGCAAUAAGUAGAUGGUAAGAAACUAAGCAUGGAUGUCAUUUUGAACCAAGCCUGAAGCUCUGUCUUAUGGAUUGAUAACAAUGGUG